UGGGGAAUCUUGGACAAUGGGGGCAACCCUGAUCCAGCCAUGCCGCGUGAGUGAUGAAGGCCUUAGGGUCGUAAAGCUCUUCGCCUGUGAAGAUAAUGACGGUAGCAGGUAAAGAAACCCCGGCUAACUCCGUGCCAGCAGCCGCGGUAAUACGGAGGGGGUUAGCGUUGUUCGGAAUUACUGGGCGUAAAGCGCACGUAGGCGGAUCGGAAAGUUGGGGGUGAAAUCCCGGGGGCUCAACCCCGGAACUGCCUCCAAAACUAUUGGUCUAGAGUUCGAGAGAGGUGAGUGGAAUUCCAAGUGUAGAGGUGAAAUUCGUAGAUAUUUGGAGGAACACCAGUGGCGAAGGCGGCUCACUGGCUCGAUACUGACGCUGAGGUGCGAAAGUGUGGGGAGCAAACAGGAUUAGAUACCCUGGUAGUCCACACCGUAAAACGAUGAAUGCCAGUCGUCGGGGUAGCAUGCUAUUCGGUGACACACCUAACGGAUUAAGCAUUCCGCCUGGGGAGUACGGUCGCAAGAUUAAAACUC
RNAcentral lists this ribosomal RNA (531 nucleotides) under uncultured bacterium. RNAcentral describes it as "bacterial SSU rRNA". It matches the Rfam family "Bacterial small subunit ribosomal RNA", at positions 355 to 902 of the family's 1533-position model. The record is from RNAcentral.